CACGUAGGGCGCAAGCGUUGUCCGGAAUUAUUGGGCGUAAAGAGCUCGUAGGCGGUUUGUUACGUCUGCUGUGAAAUCCUAGGGCUUAACCCUGGGCUUGCAGUGGAUACGGGCAGACUAGAGGUAUGUAGGGGAGAAUGGAAUUCCUGGUGUAGCGGUGAAAUGCGCAGAUAUCAGGAGGAACACCGGUGGCGAAGGCGGUUCUCUGGGCCUUACCUGACACUGAGGAGCGAAAGCGUGGGGAUCAAACAGG
This 253-nucleotide ribosomal RNA is filed under the name uncultured bacterium. RNAcentral describes it as "partial 16S ribosomal RNA". It matches the Rfam family "Bacterial small subunit ribosomal RNA", at positions 524 to 776 of the family's 1533-position model. The record is from RNAcentral.